Molecule: long non-coding RNA, 406 nt
Organism: Marmota flaviventris (yellow-bellied marmot)
Lineage: Eukaryota; Metazoa; Chordata; Mammalia; Rodentia; Sciuridae
Source: RefSeq, a predicted model, not a curated record
UUUCUCUUUGUUGCACUGCUGCAAUAAAGAUCUUUUGGUUGCUCCGAGUGUUGUGGUCACUUUCCUUUCAUUUGGCUUCACUGGAUUACUCCCAAUUAACAGGCUUAUUUGGGACUCCAACUAAAGCAACACUUAAUAUGCAUCUAAUGAUGAAGAAAGAAAAUUCCUGGCCCUGGAGCAGAGAAUUAUCAAUGAUGGAUUUCAUUCUGGAAGAUUGGCUAUUUUGUAUUCACAUAUUUCCAAAAAGCCUGUGGAGGCUUAAAAGCUUCUGGAUUUCUGUCAAGGCAUGCCUAUCAAAACAGAUCAAAUAUCAAAAUUAAAGUUAAAUCACAUUAGAUUAAAUUUAAAUACUGCAAAGGAAAUUAAUUUUUUUGUAAGACAAUUGAGUUCUUUAAAAAUGGGUAAU